RNAcentral lists this ribosomal RNA (253 nucleotides) under uncultured bacterium. RNAcentral describes it as "partial 16S ribosomal RNA". It matches the Rfam family "Bacterial small subunit ribosomal RNA", at positions 524 to 776 of the family's 1533-position model. The record is from RNAcentral.
UACGUAGGGGCGAGCGUUGUCCGGAUUUAUUGGGCGUAAAGAGCUCGUAGGCGGUUGGGUAAGUCGGGUGUGAAAACUCAGGGCUCAACUCUGAGACGCCACUCGAUACUGCUCUGACUCGAGUCCGGUAGGGGAGCGUGGAAUUCCCGGUGUAGCGGUGAAAUGCGCAGAUAUCUGGAGGAACACCGGUGGCGAAGGCGGCAUCCUGGACCGACACUGACGCUGAGGAGCGAAAGCCAGGGGAGCAAACGGG